GACGAACCGUACGAACGUUAUUCGGAAUUAUUGGGCGUAAAGGGUGCGUAGGCGGCGCAGUAAGUUGGGUGUGAAAUCCCUCGGCUUAACCGAGGAAUUGCGCCCAAAACUACUGUGCUCGAGGGAGAUAGAGGUGAGCGGAACUUAGGGUGGAGCGGUGAAAUGCGUUGAUAUCCUAAGGAACACCGGUGGCGAAAGCGGCUCACUGGAUCUCUUCUGACGCUGAGGCACGAAAGCUAGGGUAGCAAACGGG
RNAcentral lists this ribosomal RNA (253 nucleotides) under uncultured bacterium. Its description in RNAcentral is "partial 16S ribosomal RNA". It matches the Rfam family "Bacterial small subunit ribosomal RNA", at positions 524 to 776 of the family's 1533-position model. The record is from RNAcentral.